Anopheles stephensi (Asian malaria mosquito) is the source of this 6451-nucleotide long non-coding RNA. RefSeq lists it as uncharacterized. The record is from RefSeq and is a predicted model, not a curated record. Lineage: Eukaryota; Metazoa; Arthropoda; Insecta; Diptera; Culicidae. The transcript has 2 exons.
GUUUUUUGCACCAAGAAAGAGUAUUAUCAUGAAUGUAGAGAAUUGCUCCCGACAGAGUGCAACGUUUCACAAGGCCGUCCGUGUUCACACUCCAAUUUCGUUCACACCUUGCAGACACAGGCAGACACACAUUAUCCACUUAAAUCCGCUCAUGUCUGCGAUCAAGCCAGAUGCAGUCAGAUUCAAUUUUAUCCAGCGCACGUUUUUAUCUCAUCUCCCAACCCGAACCGAUUUCGCUUUCAUUCGCACGGAGGUUUGUGUGCACUUGUUUUUUGGGGAAAAAAGAUUUUUUGUGUGUGUAUGCCUUAGAUCAGAUCAGAUCCAACUGAUUGAAGCUUUUUGUGUAAUUUGCCGCAAGUAAAGCGAGGCGUACGAUGAUAAAUGGCUCUGCACAACGCAGACCCAAAUUUCAUACCCAUCUCUCAACUGCAACCAGUUGGCGCAAAUUUACCAUAUCAAAUUUGGAAACAUUGUUUUUUGUUUGGGCUUUUAAAUUUGCAACACCGAUCCACCCACCCAGAAAGCGGGGGUGUACAUGAAAUCGUAUCGGACACGAUCAUACCAUCAACCCCGAGCAGUACGGGCUGGCACGUGCACCUUUUGCACAUCGUGGCAGAAGCAUAACUUGGAACGAAAGUGUGAGUGCACAAAGAAAAAAGUGUGAUAGUUUCACACCAAUUUGGAUGGAUCGGUGAGUCAAUGUUAUCAACAACAUGAUGCUCAUGUGUUUUUUUUUUCACUUUUUAUUCGCAACACCUGUAAUUAUUUCAUGCGAUAGAGAUAGCAGCAGCUUUUGGGAGUGCAGUGUGGGGCACAUGUAUGCCAAUGUUCAUUUCGAAAUGAGUUUCAAAUUGAUCUCAAAAGGCAUGCAAUUAGCUGAUUAAGGUUGCACGAAACCGUGAAGGGUGGUAGUUUCGUUGAGACAAUUAUGAUAAUUGAACGACAUGUCGUCAGAAUGCUUUCGAUUCAAUCAAAUCGAGCUGAAUGGGUGGGAUGGACCUUUGGGAACGUUUUUAUUAAGAAAUAAACAAUAACAACAGCAAAAAUAAUGCAGUUAUACUACAUGAAGAAGUCUAACAGUCCAAAUGAUUUUAAAACAAAUAAGUCAUACUUUACAAGACGUUAUAAUUGUUGCGUCGUUUGCUGCAACAGAAGACCCAUUAUCUGUGUCGAUCAAGCCAAUCAGAUUUUCCGCCUUUUGUAUCUGACACAUCAAAGCUAACUCUCGCACAUCGCCAUCUUAUUGUCCUUCAUUGGCCUUCCAAGCUCUCCAAAGUUCUAAUAAUGGAGGAAGAAAUCACAACAUCAAUCUAAAAACAAAAGGAGAAUUCAUAACCGUAAUUUUGAAUUUUAAAAGCUAAUUUCAGGGAAUAGUUAAUCAAAAAUCAAACCCACUCAUCUUAUAUAAAGUCCUUAUUUAUUUUAAAUGUAUCCCUCACGAGUUAAAUUUUCUAGCUCAUCGAUCAGUAUCUUCUAUAAAGGUUAACACGACAACAUCAUUUCCCAAGGGAAUUAUAGAUUUUUAUACCAAAAUCUAGGACAACCACAAUGAAUGAUCUUCGAUCGUAUCGUGAGCGUACGUUAAAACGUUUACAACACUGUAUCUGCACUGGAUGUUACAGAAAAUUCAUCAUUUUAAUUAAGAAACUGCUUCACAUCACGUCUUAACGCUUUUGCCUACCCAUCGUACCGCUGAUACACCUCCAAGUGCGCCUGUUAACCUGCCCAUCCUUCGUUCGAACGCGGAAAUGAAACAAAACUGCACAAUAAUGUUUGAAUCGCGGAAGCAAAGUUCCAAAUUUUGUCGAGUAAACGAGAAAAGAAACCCACUACUAUUACUGUACCAGCAGCAUCAUCAUCAUCAUUCACGAACCGUUCGUGUUUUGAGAAGAAGCACCAUUUUUUUUUCAUCUUCAGGAUUGAGCACCCAGAACAAGCCCCGAAGAGUCGCAGUCACUUAAAACCGUUUUCUCAAUCAAUCGAGAUCUGCUAAGCGGGACGACGACAAAUUUCCGAAAUCAUCGUCCACCAGCACCAGUGUUCCCCAUUGGCCCCAAAAACGAUCGACAAACACCUCGGGGGUAUGAUCACCGUCCAGAGUGUACACAGCCGGCUGCACCAAUAAUUGCUGCUUGGGCAAUUGUGCUGACCGCACUACAACGACGGAGGCCACAAAGCAUUUUUGGCGAAGCGCUAAAGUACACCUGGCCUACAGCCCGGCCAAGACAAUUUGUGCUGUGUGGUUACGCCAACGGUGACGACGAUUUGCUGUCAACUGCUUGGUACAAAAUAAUCAAACCUCCUGUGGGGUUGUCCUACUUGCCGUGUUGUGCUGUGGAUGGAGAAAAUCGUUAAAAUUAGCUGUCAGGUACUAAUGAACAAACUGAACCAAAAGGCCUCAAAGCAUUGUCGUCAUGAGCACGAGAAGAUUUGAAACAAACGAAGAUCUGUACUUUGUACCUUGACUGUGGGAUGUUCACAUGGCCUUGAAUUGGAACAAAUUCUACCAGGAAUAGACUUGUAAGGACGGACAAUUUGACUACGUUAUAUAAAUUUGUUAUUUGAAAGGACUCAUAUCGAUCUCUCUUUUUCUUUCCUGGUCAGACUAUCCGUUAAGGUCAUGCCUGCCAUUACUUACUAGACUUAUUGUUACCGCAUAGUUGGAUAAGCAAAGCAGUCCUCACAAUGCGGGAACGGCGCAGAUAAGAUUUUAACCCCAGCCUGGCCGUGUGAAGAGCAGCGCCCCUGUCUACCACCGGACCGCGGAUCAGUUGUGUUUAGUCUAAAUCUCAAAAAGAAGUUAGUCCAAGAUCCGACCGAAAUCUUGGCUGCCCGGCGAUUAGCGAUGAGUUUUCCUGUUCUCAUCUCACGACUGUAUGAUGAUUUUGAUAUUUGAUGGAUGCCUGUUAAAAUGUUUAACUGAGUGUAGCUCAUGUCAUCACAGAACCCCAUUGCGAGAUGUCUAGACAAUCUUAACAGACAAGAAAAAAAUAUUGAGAUUGAUAUGAUAAUUGAUAUUGGUUUUAAUAACCUCAAAACCUUAAAGGGAUACACAAGUUAAUUUAUCUUUUAAUUGCUUUGAAUCUUCAGCUUAUCGCUUAUUUCUGAAAAGUGCGCACCUCAUAUUAAUAGGGAGCCCUACUCUACGCACAACCUGAUACUUUCAUACUAAUUGCCUUCACCUUAUUAGAAAACCCUUAGGCUCGUUCCAUGUUUUUUCAAAUCCUCAUUUACUCACGAUUGUAGAGGCUCUCAAUAUCGCCUUCAUUUUAACGUGACUUCAACACAUGCUAGACGAGAAGCUGGAUCCAGCCGGAAUAUACGGUGCAUCUCGUUGACCCAAAAUCGCGCUAUCAAUAAAUGACAGCCCGCAGAAUAGCUGACCGAAAAACUGUGGCCUGAACAAUAACCCAUUCCCCAUUCGGCUAGAUGGACGAUGGCAAAACAAACGGAACCAUCCGAUUGCUCCUAUCCUAUUGCACAGCACAUUACUCAGCGGUGCCAAUUCAAGUAGUAGUACGGUAGUGGAUGAACGGUGGGUACCCACUCUCGUAUCACUCUCAGCUGUGCUGCGAUGAAAGAGGUGAAUGAGCCGUGCUAAAUUUCAUGCAUCGGAGUAGAGUUAUCCGCAAGCCGCGUACUUACCCGAUUCGUAUGGAUCGAAGCGGCCGGAAUGUUUAACCCACUUAUAUCCAGGAGAAAUGAUGGACCUCGCUCAAGCCGGUCGAUGGCUCUCCACCACCGAACGGAAACCGUCCGUCGACCGAUCGAUAGUAUCGAGAAUCCGUCAAUGCGUACAUUUCCUACAACUAUGAUUAAUUUUCACACAAAAAUCGAAUCGAUGAAGCACAGUGAAUGGGAGAGGGGUGAAUAGCAGUGAACGGCAGGAAAACAACGCCCGCAAAAGAAAGCUAGCAAUCAAUCAAACGGAAUUUUUCAUUCAUCAGUUUAUUCAAUGCACGAGCAAUAGUAGUUUGUGAAAGAAGGCAGCACGCACCGCAUCCAACAGAGUGGAGUGGGCUUCCUGGCUUCGUUUGGGGCACGUUUGGGCAUACGAGUAAUGUGGUACUUAGCGCUAACGAUGGAUAAUCACACAAAUGAAGCAUUUUCCAGCUUUGGUUAGAGUGAAAAUUGUUUUUUUCCUUAGUACAACGGUUCCAAAAUACAGCCGCGGUACGUCGAGCACAUGGACCGGUGUUGUAGGUCUCGGCCUGAUUUCGAUUACUGUGUGUUGUGUCUUCUCACUGUUGGGCAGGGAGAACAAUUCUAUUGUGCGUUUGUUUCUUGUUUUCAAUUUCCGUUUUACAGCUCAACUUUCCUACUCUGCGUAGUGUAAUUUGAAGUUCCCCAUUUAUAUAUACUUUGUUCGUUUUUUUGAGCUCCAAGAUUAUCUCUUAAUGUUGAAGUACGUGUUUAAUUAUUUUCGUUUAGGCUUCUUUGUUUUACCAUCAUUGACCUCCUGACAUAUACUUGAAUUAUUCUUCAACGCGAACUUUCUCCUGUCAACUGGGUGGAAUCUCUCUGUUUUCCUCUCGUAAAAUGGACGAGUAAGAAAUGUAUGCUCCUCGAACCAAAAACACAUUCAUCUUCGCCUGCUGGGAAGAAGUACAGUGUACCUAAGCUCGUUUUGGAUGGAUGUUCAUCAAAGCGUGUAUUAAUUAUAGCGUUUGCACGUGGGGAAAAUAUUCAUAAUAACAAUAAACCAAGAGCAGAAAAAACGCACUUUAGACUCCAAAUGCAUAGGGCGGAGAUCUUAAAACCACAUUAAAGCAAAAGAAGCAUCAAUCCGAUGCAAAGCUCUCCGGCAGCAAUGAUGAAGCCUCGGUGACGUACAUCUUGUCCACCCUCCUGAUGGUCAAACUUUCGGUGGCAACAUUUUUUGCAAACCUAAAACCACAAUACCUUCAGCAAUAUCCAAUUGCAAGCAUUUGUAGGUUAAUUGUAAUGUCAGCGCACAAAAUCCGUUACGGAUUUUGUCUCGUAGGCGGAUCGCGCGCCACCGUCCAUCAUCAUGGUGGGGGCCCAUUGUAAGCGCCCUCUUACAUACGCCCCAUCAGCCGAACUGUUGGAUGCGAUGUUGGAUGAAAAUUAUGUGUGCCAUGGCUUCUUCGCGCAGUUUGACCCGAACCCUGCCCCGGGCCCAACUGUCUUCGCAGUUCCGCAAUCCAUCAUCAUGGCUGUGGCUCGCUCGGCACACGUCUUCACACUCAUAUCGGGGCAGUGUCUCCGAUGUGACGGUUCGUUACAAAUCGUUACCUUGCCAUUGCGCAAUCGCACACACCAAAACCGCAUGACACAUCCACUGCUGCCCUAUCGUGAUGCUACCCGGACGGUUUCUGUUUUCCUGCGUGGUCACAUCUUCCGGCAUCGUGCAGAAAUGUGAAGGAAACGAGACUACCGCCCGGUGGUGUCACUACCGAGUAAAGACGAGCGAUCAAGCUCUGUGUGAUGCUUGGUUUCCGUUUUCCAAAGUGCGCAAUAAAGAAGUGGCUUUAUGGUUUGGUCCGCUCUGCUCGGGGAAGCGUUCAAUGUUGAUCUUCCUGCAAUGGAACCAUAACCUUAGAGCAGGCUUAAUAUGACGCAUUCAAAACAAGGCGAUGAACAAGUUACAUUUCCAGCGUGAGAUCGAGUUUGAAUUGUGGAGUCUUCAUCUUUUUUCCCAUUUCAAGAUAAUUUCCAAGUACAAAAAAUACAAAAUAAACUGAUUAACGUCUCAAACAAGCAAUAGAUGCCUCCAAAACAUGGCUGAGCUAAUCAAGAAACAUACCGAGACGAUUUUAUUUUAAGAAGAUACCAAUCUAAAGGCACAUCAGAUAAAAAAGAUAAAAGAAAAGAAAUCAAAUUUAAUUCAAGUAAUGCUGGAUAGAAAGAUUUCAGUUCUAAUAGGCAUCAACUUUAGAAAGAGUUUGGCCCAAUGAUUCUAAAUAUCUGAAGCAGACAGAGACACAGAAGGAGAAGAGAUAUAACUCUUGAUAGUGAGAAAAUGAGACUCAAUAGGCUAGUUGGACUAACGAAAUUUGCGUUAUUUUUGUAUUGUGUGUAAUGUUAAAUGGAACUUAGAUAGAACUUGGACUUGUAGCACCUUGUCUAAUCAAUUCGUGUCAAUAGAAAAUCUGUUCAGGAAUUCUUGGAUAGACACAUGUCAAACCUUUGAUGUUUCGGUAAUUCUAAUUAUUGUUAUAUGACUCUUCAACUUCAAGAAUUCUUGCACUGCCCUUACUGGCUUUUUUGACAUGAUUAUGGACAUGGCUGGAUAGUCAGCUCUGCAUACGAUUUGAAGAUCUGGUUGACGUUAGUUUAUUAAAAGACUGAAAUGUGUCCAUACACAAAAAUCGGUAUUCGCUAGUGAAGCUUCCAGACAGUGCAACAGCUUCCAGUUCUUCGUGUAAAUAUGCCAUUUAAUCCAGAACAGACAUCAGAUAUUCAGUCCGUAAUAAUAAAAAAAAAAAAA